GUCUCCGUGGCGCAAUGGUAGCGCGUUGGACUUCUACCACCUUAAAACGGUCAUCCAAAGGCUGCGGGUUCGAGCCCCGCCGGAGAUG
Non-coding RNA from Didymella exigua CBS 183.55, 88 nucleotides. Lineage: Eukaryota; Fungi; Ascomycota; Dothideomycetes; Pleosporales; Didymellaceae. The record is from the annotation of a RefSeq genome assembly.